Molecule: long non-coding RNA, 898 nt
Filed under: Vigna radiata
Lineage: Eukaryota; Viridiplantae; Streptophyta; Magnoliopsida; Fabales; Fabaceae
Description: long non-coding RNA (VRAD_LNC014261)
Source: RNAcentral
GGGGGCUGAUUGAAUUUAUUUGAAGGCACACACCUGAUGGUUUAUUUACUAGAAGGGGGAGUGCCUAUUUGAUUUUGGAAGAGUUGGUGCAACACACAGUCACAUCAACUUACUUUUCAAGAGCUGAUUUCGUUUUUGUUGUUGUUUAAUAUUAGCAUGGCUGAUUCACUUUUUACUUGAAGAACACGACGCUAUUUUCAAUUUACUUGUUGUUUUUAUUUUAUUUUUUAACAACUCAUUAGCUUUGCCUUUGGACGCUGUUGGGAACGUUUUGAAAAGAGGAGCUGCCACUCUCUUUAUAUUUUUUUCGGAGCUUGAACGUUUUCUUGGUUUUUUUUUUGGUUAGCAAUGUUGUUCACGGUUUUUUCCAGGGAAUGAUGGACGCUGGUUUCAUGCUUGAAUGGAAGAAGCAUUUUUCAAUUUUUCUUUUUAUUGUUUUGCAAUGCUGGACCCCAUAUUUUUAGCAUUGAAGAGUGUGUGGUAUUAUGCAAGCAUAGUCCAUUAACACUGAUUGUAUAAGGAUGCCUAUUUUAUUCAUGCUUUCAAUGUUAUUCACAUGGUCACGUCAACUAGCAUUUAAGGAUGAAAUAUUUUUUGGAGAAUGAAGCAAGGGUGCAAGGAAUCAACUUAUUGAAUUGUUAUUUGAAAGAUGAAAAAUGACGUGCUGGAAGAUGGUACCAGGGGAGGUCACGGCCAAGAGUCAAUUUUUAGAACCACUUGCAUUUUUAAUUUCCUUUGGGGGCUNCAGGGUCACAUGAAUUGGUAGAUAAUUUUUAUUUUUUUUUUAUUUUUCUUGUCUUAGAAUAUUUUACAUUAUAUGUUGAGUUGUUUUAAUCUUUUUAAUUUAGUGUUGCAUUUUAAUAGCUUUAUUUGUAUUUAGACAUUUAUCUAUUGCAUU